GAUGAAGAACGUAAUGAAAUGCGAUAAGUAAUGUGAAUUGCAGAAUUCAGUGAAUCAUCGAAUCUUUGAACGCACAUUGCGCCCCUUGGUAUUCCGAGGGGCAUGCCUAUUCGAGCGUCAUUAUCACCCCUCAAGCCUAGCUUGGUGUUGGGGCUUGCUGUAAAGGCAGCCUCUAAAAUCAGUGGCAGUGCUGUCAGGCUCUAAGCGUAGUAAAUUCAUCGCUAUAGGGUCCUGGUGGAUACUCGUCAAAACCCCCAUUUUUAAUGAUUGACCUCGGAUUAGGUAGGGAUACCCGCUGAACUUAAGCAUAUCAAUAAGCGGAGGA
RNAcentral lists this unclassified non-coding RNA (325 nucleotides) under soil metagenome. RNAcentral's name for it is "partial contains 5.8S ribosomal RNA, internal transcribed spacer 2, and large subunit ribosomal RNA". The stretch from base 1 to 120 matches the Rfam family "5.8S ribosomal RNA", at positions 35 to 154 of the family's 154-position model. The record is from RNAcentral.